Molecule: ribosomal RNA, 643 nt
Filed under: uncultured bacterium
Lineage: Bacteria
Description: bacterial SSU rRNA
Rfam family: Bacterial small subunit ribosomal RNA
Source: RNAcentral
CGCGGCCUAUCAGCUUGUUGGUGGGGUAGUGGCUUACCAAGGCUUUGACGGGUAGCCGGCCUGAGAGGGUGACCGGCCACAUUGGGACUGAGAUACGGCCCAGACUCCUACGGGAGGCAGCAGUGGGGAAUAUUGCACAAUGGGCGGAAGCCUGAUGCAGCAACGCCGCGUGCGGGAUGACGGCCUUCGGGUUGUAAACCGCUUUCGCCUGUGACGAAGCGUGAGUGACGGUAAUGGGUAAAGAAGCACCGGCUAACUACGUGCCAGCAGCCGCGGUGAUACGUAGGGUGCGAGCGUUGUCCGGAUUUAUUGGGCGUAAAGGGCUCGUAGGUGGUUGAUCGCGUCGGAAGUGUAAUCUUGGGGCUUAACCCUGAGCGUGCUUUCGAUACGGGUUGACUUGAGGAAGGUAGGGGAGAAUGGAAUUCCUGGUGGAACGGUGGAAUGCGCAGAUAUCAGGAGGAACACCAGUGGCGAAGGCGGUUCUCUGGGCCUUUCCUGACGCUGAGGAGCGAAAGCGUGGGGAGCGAACAGGCUUAGAUACCCUGGUAGUCCACGCUGUAAACGGUGGGUACUAGGUGUGGGGUCCAUUCCACGGGUUCCGUGCCGUAGCUAACGCUUUAAGUACCCCGCCUGGGGAGUACGG